Ooceraea biroi (clonal raider ant) is the source of this 865-nucleotide long non-coding RNA. RefSeq lists it as uncharacterized. NCBI's taxonomy places the organism in Eukaryota, Metazoa, Arthropoda, Insecta, Hymenoptera, Formicidae. The record is from RefSeq and is a predicted model, not a curated record.
GUAACUUUUCCCCUAGGAUGGAAAAUGAAGAAUUAAAAUUUCGUGUGCACUUACUUUCGUUUGUUACGUGAUAGAUGCCCAGUAGCAAAUCAUAACGUAAAAGUUCACGCGAAAUUUUCAUUUUUCAUCCUAGGGGAAAAGUUACGUGAUAGAUGCCUAGAACGUGAAUUAGUAGUAACUAGACAGAGAAUAAAAUACAGUUGAUAUGUGAAAAAUCACUUUCCGCGGUAACCAAUCGGAGACUUUAGAUGAGAAUUCCGAUUGGUCGUAUCGUGCGCCUGCAGAAUGGUGCAGGCGCUAAUGUUCGACCAGACGGGUUGCCAUAAUGCAGGCGCUCCGUUCCCUGCUCCAUUUGUUAGUCCCCGAAAAGUCCGCUACGAGCCUCCGCUGUCCGCGAUCGAGAAGCGAAGCAGUAGUAUAAUUCAAUGUCGCGUCGGAGGUGAUUUUAUUUCGACACGAUACAAUUCUUUGGCGUACAAUGAAAAGCUUUUCUAUAAAAUUAGUACGCCUCAGAGACGAGUUGAAUAAAGUUUUCGCUUGGAGGUAACCCGUUGUAACGGCAACGUCAGAUACACCUUCACUCGUACAUUUUUCCGUAAUUGAAGAUUCAAUGCAUUCAAUGCAAUAACUCUCGCAGCACCGAUCGGGAAACGAAGACGACCGAGGACGACCGAGCGCGGAGCGAUUCCGGGGGUGCUGGAGGGGAAGGUGGCGCAUAGCGCCAUCUGUCGUCCAGUUGACAGUUGCAGCUGCGGGCGCGCGUAUCGAUAGUUGAUUCUCGCAAGGACGUUGCCUGCGUGCACGUUGAGAACGCGUGGAGGGCAUCGUGGUAAGGAUCGCGAUAAGAGAAGACGAGUGCGAACAA